Molecule: ribosomal RNA, 258 nt
Filed under: uncultured bacterium
Lineage: Bacteria
Description: partial 16S ribosomal RNA
Rfam family: Bacterial small subunit ribosomal RNA
Source: RNAcentral
UGGCGGACGGGUGAGUAACGCGUGGAAAACCUGCCGUAUACUGGGGGAUAACACUUAGAAAUAGGUGCUAAUACCGCAUAAGCGCACAGCUUCGCAUGAAGCGGUGUGAAAAACUCUGGUGGUGUACGAUGGUUUCGCGUCUGAUUAGCUAGUUGGUGGGGUAAUGGCCUACCAAGGCAACGAUCAGUAGCCGGCCUGAGAGGGUGAACGGCCACAUUGGGACUGAGACACGGCCCAAACUCCUACGGGAGGCAGCAG